RNAcentral lists this small RNA (1190 nucleotides) under Cryptococcus neoformans H99. RNAcentral's name for it is "Cryptococcus neoformans var. grubii H99 hypothetical RNA". Lineage: Eukaryota; Fungi; Basidiomycota; Tremellomycetes; Tremellales; Cryptococcaceae. The record is from RNAcentral.
UGUGAUCUCUCCUUACUUCAUGAGAAAGCCCCCUUUUCUAAUCUCCUACAACAAACAAAUACCCCGGAGUACGACUUUUCACGACGCUGUUUUAGUGCGAUUCCUCUUGGAAUCUAACGUUCUACCCAUAAUAUCCUUAAUUCUCAACAUACAAUCUAAAAGCUGCAACUCUUCAUCCCCUCCCUCGCACAAACCCUUAUCGCACUCUGCGAUCGCAAUGCCGGCCAAACUCUUUUGAACUGCUGGUAUACUUGGAAUGGGUAUGAGAGCGUCGUGGAUCUACAUUUUUAUAUUGAUUUUUACACUCGGUCAGUUCUGCCUGUAGAUAUUUCGUAUAUGGGAAUAGAUUCGAAUAAAGUAUGAGAAAGAAAGGGAAGAAUGAGAAGGCAAGGAGUAAGACCCACCUGCUCAAGCACUUGCCCUACACUCCAUCCUUCCCGUUCAACUCGCUUCACGGCAACCAUAACACCAUCAAAUCCUCUUGCCAGACUGCGAUCGAUCCCAAUUUGCCUAUCGACUCCCAUCGCAGCGAGGAGAUCUGUGAUUAGAUCUUCUGGGACAACGCCAGAUAUUUCGUGUACUGUUUCAUACAAAGGGAUACAGGAAGACGAUACAAGUCAGCUUUCAAGAUCUUCUCCUUAGUUUUUGCACAGUACCGCCCGGUACAAGCCCGCUGCUGCGAUACAAAGAAGAAAAAAAGCACAUACUGGAAAGAGCAGACACAGGUGUAGGUGGUUCGAUCGAGCUAUGUAAUCUCUGAGCUGUUUGGAGGUAUGUAAUCGCCUUUCGCAAAUCGCCUCCAGCAAGUUCAAGGAUAAGCGAAAUCACCUAUCCCCAUGGAGGUCAGCGCGUAAAAAAAACAGAAAAAAGGGGAAGGCGAGUUGAAGAAAGAACGGGGGUAAAGCAAGAGGAUGAAAGAAAAGAACACAAGGACAUACUCCGGGAUCGGUUUGAACACCUUCAUUCUCUGCAAUCAUCUCCAUUCUCGCUCUUGUACUUCCCUGUUCGAGUGGUUUGAACCUAAAUUUGCUACAUCUUGAUGCGAGGGGCUCGAUAAUCCUAUCCCCUAUCAUCAGCUAUUCAUCUACUCAUUCACUCUUUCCUCUUCCAUUUCCCUCUCUCGUUGCUAGAUCCAAGCAGGAUGGACGGAAUAGAUGGAUGAAUGGAUGUGUAAAUGGAACGCACCUAGU